This 497-nucleotide ribosomal RNA is filed under the name uncultured bacterium. RNAcentral describes it as "partial 16S ribosomal RNA". It matches the Rfam family "Bacterial small subunit ribosomal RNA", at positions 28 to 507 of the family's 1533-position model. The record is from RNAcentral.
GAUGAACGCUGGCGGCGUGCCUAAUACAUGCCAGUCGAGCGAACAGACGAGGAGCUUGCUCCUCUGACGUUAGCGGCGGACGGGUGAGUAACACGUGGAUAACCUACCUAUAAGACUGGGAUAACUUCGGGAAACCGGAGCUAAUACCGGAUAAUAUAUUGAACCUCAUGGUUCAAUAGUGAAAGACGGUUUUGCUGUCACUUAUAGAUGGAUCCGCGCCGCAUUAGCUAGUUGGUAAGGUAACGGCUUACCAAGGCAACGAUGCGUAGCCGACCUGAGAGGGUGAUCGGCCACACUGGAACUGAGACACGGUCCAGACUCCUACGGGAGGCAGCAGUAGGGAAUCUUCCGCAAUGGGCGAAAGCCUGACGGAGCAACGCCGCGUGAGUGAUGAAGGUCUUCGGAUCGUAAAACUCUGUUAUUAGGGAAGAACAAAUGUGUAAGUAACUAUGCACGUCUUGACGGUACCUAAUCAGAAAGCCACGGCUAACUACGUG